RNAcentral lists this ribosomal RNA (1541 nucleotides) under Kudoa sp. a AC-2020. RNAcentral's name for it is "SSU rRNA". It matches the Rfam family "Eukaryotic small subunit ribosomal RNA", at positions 26 to 1648 of the family's 1831-position model. Lineage: Eukaryota; Metazoa; Cnidaria; Myxozoa; Multivalvulida; Kudoidae. The record is from RNAcentral.
AUAUGCUCGUCUCAAAGAUUAAGCCAUGCAAGUCUAAGUUCACAUCAUAUAAAGAUGAAACUGCGAAGCGCUCAGUAAAUCAGUUAUUGUCCGUUCGGUCAUAUCAGCCAUGGAUAACUGUGGUAAAUCUAGAGCUAAUACAUAGCAAAUCCCUGUAAUAGGGGAGCAUUUAUUAGACUCGACCAACUGGCUUCGGCCAUUUGAUGAAUCAUAAUAACUGAGCAUAUCGAACAUUAAGUUGUCGAUAGUCCGAUCGAAUUUCUGCCCUAUCAACUAGUUGGUGAGGUAGUGGCUCACCAAGGUUGUGACGGGUAACGGGGGAUCAGGGUUCGAUUCCGGAGAGGGAGCCUGAGAAACGGCUACCACAUCUAAGGAAGGCAGCAGGCGCGCAAAUUACCCAAUCCAGACUUUGGGAGGUAGUGACGAGAAAUACCGGAGUAGACCAUUAAUUGGUUCACUAUCGGAAUGAACGUAAUCUAAUACCUUCGAUGAGUAGCUACUGGAGGGCAAGUCUGGUGCCAGCAGCCGCGGUAAUUCCAGCUCCAGUAGUGUAUAUCAAAAUUGUUGCGGUUAAAACGCUCGUAGUUGGAUUACAAAAGCUCUAUAAUGGCCAAGUCUAGGUUUGGUUGUUGUGGGGUUUUUUUAUCGCGAGAGCCGUAUGUGGGAUUAAAUUCUCGUGUGCGGUCACUUGCGAAAUGUGCCUUGAAUAAAGCACAGUGCUCAAAGCAGGUGUACGCUUGAAUGUAAUAGCAUGGAACGAAUAUAUUGACCUUGUCAAGGUUGGUUGUUGGCAGUGGUCUCGAUUAAAAGGGACAUUUGAGGGCGUUAGUACUUGGUGGCGAGGGGUGAAAUCCUUAGACCCAUCAAAGACUAACUAAUGCGAAAGCAUUCGCCAAGAGUGUUUUCAUUAAUCAAGAACGAAAGUUGGAGGUUCGAAGACGAUCAGAUACCGUCCUAGUUCCAUACAGUAAACUAUGCCACGCGCAAAUUACCCAAUCCAGACUUUGGGAGGUAGUGACGAGAAAUACCCGGAGUAGACCAUUAAUUGGUUGCUCACGCAAGUGCGAAAUUUAAAGAAAUUGACGGAAUGGCACCACCAGGAGUGGAGCCUGCGGCUUAAUUAUAUCAAAAGUGUCGCCAAUUAUAAAACGCUCGUAGUUGGAUUACAAAAGCUCUAUAAUGCCCAAGUCUAUACAAUGAUUGGUGGUGCAUGGCCGUUCUUAGUUGGUGGAGUGAUCUGUCAGGUUUAUUCCGGUAACGAGCGAGACCACGAUCUUUAAUUGAUUACGGUUAUAAUGUGUUAGCCGAUCUUAAAGAGACCACCGGAGUUAAGCCGGGGGAAGCGUGGCAAUAACAGGUCUGUGAUGCCCUUCGAUGUUCUGGGCUGCACGUGCGCUACAAUGGCAGUGACAAUAAGUACCUACUCCGAAAGGGGCGGGGAAUCUUAGAAAUCGCUGUCUUGCUUUGGAUUGAGCCUUGUAAUAAUUGCUCAUGAAAGAGGAAUUCCUCGUAAGCGCGAGUCAUCAGCUCGUGUUGAAUAC